GGGAAGGUAGCUCAAUGGUAGAGCACUUGCCUUGCAUGCCUGAGGCCCUGGGUUUGAUUACCCAGCACCA
Dipodomys ordii (Ord's kangaroo rat) is the source of this 70-nucleotide non-coding RNA. The record is from Rfam. Lineage: Eukaryota; Metazoa; Chordata; Mammalia; Rodentia; Heteromyidae.